GCUAGAGUGGUGUAGUGGUUUGAAUGUCAGACAAGGACUCUGGAGACCAGGGUUUGAAUCCCAGCUCAGCC
Molecule: non-coding RNA, 71 nt
Organism: Phrynosoma platyrhinos (Desert horned lizard)
Lineage: Eukaryota; Metazoa; Chordata; Lepidosauria; Squamata; Phrynosomatidae
Source: the annotation of a GenBank genome assembly